GAUAGGGAAUACCAUCUGCAAUGAGGUAUUCUUUCAAACUCGUGCCAAAGGAUCGGACGGCGGCGGAUUAGGUAGUUGGCGGUGUAACGGACCACCAAGCCGAAGAUCCGUACGGGCCAUGAGAGUGGUAGCCCGGAGAGGGACACUGAGAUACUGGUCCCAGCCCCACGGGGUGCAGCAGGCGCGAAACCUUUACAAUGCACGCAAGUGUGAUAAGGGAAUCCCCAGUGCUCAUGUACUGCAUGGGCUUUUGCCAAGUGUAAAUAGCUUGGCGAAUAAGUGGUGGGAAAGACUGGUGCCAGCCGCCGCGGUAACACCAGCGCCACGAGUGGUAACCACGAUUAUUGGGCCUAAAGCGUCCGUAGCCGGUUUGGUAAAUCCCUUGUGAAAUUGUUCGGCUUAACCGAACAACGUGCAAAGGACACUGCCAAACUCGAGACCGGGAGGAGUCAGAAGUAUUCCAGGGGGAGCGGUAAAAUGUUAUAAUCCCUGGAGGACUACCUGUGGCGAAGGCGUCUGACCAGAACGGAUCUGACGGUGAGGGACGAAAGCCAGGGGAGCGAACCGGAUUAGAUACCCGAGUAGUCCUGGCCGUAAACGCUGUGAGCUAGGUGUUGCGCUAACUACAUGUUGGCGCAGUGUCGAAAGGAAGCUGUUAAGCUCACCGCCUGGGAAGUACGGUCGCAAGACUGAAACUUUAAGGAAUUGGCGGGGGAGCACCACAAGGGGUGCGGCGUGCGGUUUAAUCUAACUCAACGCAGAGAACCUUACUAGAAGCGACGGCAGAAUGAAAGUCAGCUUGAAGAGCUUACUUGACAAGCCGAGAGGUGGUGCAUGGCCGCCGUCAGCUCGUGCUGUGAAGUGUCCAGCUAAGCCUGGCAACGAGCGAGACCUGUAUUUGCAAUUGCUAACAGCCACAUGUGGGACUGAGCACUUUGCAAAGACUGCCCUGGAAACAGGGAGGAAGGUGCAGGCUACGGUAGGUCUGUAUGCCCCGAAUCUUCUAGGCUACACGCGCGCAACAAUGGUAGGGACAAUGGGAUGCAACUCCGAAAGGAGAAGCUAAUCCUCUAAACCCUAUCCAAGUCCAGAUUGAGGCUUGCAACUCAGCCUCAUGACGACGGAAUCCCUAGUAAUCAGAAGUCAUCAUCUUCUGGUGAAUAUGUCCCUGCUCCUUGCACACACCGCCCGUCAAAUCAACCGAGCAGGGUCUAGGUAAAGUUCAGCUUAUUGGUUGCACUGAAUCUAGGCUCAGUGAGGUGGGUUAAGUCGUCACAAGGUA
RNAcentral lists this ribosomal RNA (1282 nucleotides) under metagenome. Its description in RNAcentral is "bacterial SSU rRNA". It matches the Rfam family "Archaeal small subunit ribosomal RNA", at positions 155 to 1445 of the family's 1478-position model. The record is from RNAcentral.